GACGAACGCUGGCGGCGUGCCUAAUACAUGCAAGUAGAACGCUGAAGGAAGGAGCUUGCUCUUUCUGGAUGAGUUGCGAACGGGUGAGUAACGCGUAGGUAACCUGCCUGGUAGCGGGGGAUAACUAUUGGAAACGAUAGCUAAUACCGCAUAAAAUUGAUUAUUGCAUGAUAGUCAAUUAAAAGGUGCAACUGCACCACUACCAGAUGGACCUGCGUUGUAUUAGCUAGUUGGUGGGGUAACGGCUCACCAAGGCGACGAUACAUAGCCGACCUGAGAGGGUGAUCGGCCACACUGGGACUGAGACACGGCCCAGACUCCUACGGGAGGCAGCAGUAGGGAAUCUUCGGCAAUGGACGGAAGUCUGACCGAGCAACGCCGCGUGAGUGAAGAAGGUUUUCGGAUCGUAAAGCUCUGUUGUAAGAGGAGAACGAGUGUGAGAGUGGAAAGUUCACACUGUGACGGUAUCUUACCAGAAAGGGACGGCUAACUACGUG
This 497-nucleotide ribosomal RNA is filed under the name uncultured bacterium. Its description in RNAcentral is "partial 16S ribosomal RNA". It matches the Rfam family "Bacterial small subunit ribosomal RNA", at positions 28 to 507 of the family's 1533-position model. The record is from RNAcentral.